UUAUGUAUGAGCGUCUCUAAAAACUGUUAUGUAUAAUUUUUUUUGUUAAUUUUUUUAAAAUAAUAUUAUAUUAUAUUAUAUUAUAUUAAAAAUAACAAAUAAAUUGUUUAGCCUAAAAUCUGAAUUUAUUCAUAGAUAUAGACUUUGAGAAAUAAAAAACUCAUAAUAUUUUUUUUAUUAAAUAACACUUAAAUAAAAUCUGAAAAUAUUAUUAGAAACCUAAAUACCCAAAAUUGAAUAAUAAAAAUUAAAUAAAAGAAAAAAGAAAAAGAUUUCCAUUCCUAAAAUUUGAAAAUAUUAUCAGCCCUAACACUUCUCUCUCUAGUUCGCCUCCCCCCAAAUCUCAAUUUGUCGCGCCUUCCCCGAGUCCGCCGCGCCCCCCGAUCUACCGCGCCUUCAUCCAGCUCCCCCAGUCCAUCGCGCCCUCGGUCUGCCUCCGUCGCGCCCUCGUUCUUGCUCCGGCGUGUUUUAUUGGCCGACUGUGCGGCGGCGGCGGGCUAGGGUUUUGAAACCCUAGCUGUGAUGAAGAGAAGAAACGGGUCAGAAAGAUGGGCUAGGGUUUUCCAGACUCCAGUCUUCGCCGCGUCUCCACGAUCUGCCGCGCCGCUUCCUUUUCAGACCGCCGUCCGUCUAUCCACCGGCAACUCACGCACACCGCACACGGUAAGCCCUCUCUUUCAGAAUUUGAAUUACAGUAGGCUUUUUCUUAAGUUUUUGGAAUUAGAAUUUCAAAUUUGCUUGAAUUUGUUUCAAAUUUUACUCUGUUAUUGUAUAAUGUGUAUAGCUGUGUGAUGAGUUUUAUCUCUUUCCGAUUUCUGGAUCUUGUCAAAUUUGACCUCUGAGUUUCCUUCAUGGAGCAUCGCCACCACUGAUUUCAACAACCGCCGCCGUCUGAUUCACCCGCCACUUCUCGGCCGUAGCAGUCACACUGUGUUCUCUCUCUCAUUUAAUGCCUAUUUCUAAUCUCUUCAAUCGAUUUUGAGGCUUCUAAUUUGUUAUUUUGUUUUAUCUUGCAACUGCAAAAUUUGGGAUUUCUUGAUUUCUUAGAUGAAGGCUGGCUGGAUAUCUCGAGGUUUGGGGAACAAAUUAAUUGCUAAUUCUUUUCAAAUUGGAAGCGUUUCUUUGAUUUCUCUCCUGGGUUCCUCUGCUGCUGGUCUUACACAAGCU
This 1167-nucleotide long non-coding RNA is filed under the name Salvia miltiorrhiza (redroot sage). RNAcentral describes it as "long non-coding RNA (SMIL_LNC010777)". The record is from RNAcentral. Lineage: Eukaryota; Viridiplantae; Streptophyta; Magnoliopsida; Lamiales; Lamiaceae.